GUCAUCGUGAGGUGACUGCUGAAGGAAGUCGAAGGCAAAGCACUGGUCUGACGAACAGGAAUCGUAUAUGAGGCUAUCGUAUCGGAUGAGGAGGCAUACAUCUCUAAAGUCCAAUACCUGUACGGAAGGUACGGUGGUAUAUACGGCAGACAUAAGUGUGAAGGUGAAUGCG
Molecule: non-coding RNA, 172 nt
Organism: Chitinivibrio alkaliphilus ACht1
Lineage: Bacteria; Pseudomonadati; Fibrobacterota; Chitinivibrionia; Chitinivibrionales; Chitinivibrionaceae
Source: Rfam